Molecule: ribosomal RNA, 197 nt
Filed under: uncultured bacterium
Lineage: Bacteria
Description: partial 16S ribosomal RNA
Rfam family: Bacterial small subunit ribosomal RNA
Source: RNAcentral
ACGCUCGACACCUACGGGGGCAGCAGUGGGGAAUAUUGCACAAUGGAGGAAACUCUGAUGCAGCGAUGCCGCGUGAGGGAAGAAGGUUUUCGGAUUGUAAACCUCUGUCUUUGGGGACGAUAAUGACGGUACCCAAGGAGGAAGCUCCGGCUAACUACGUGCCCGCAGCCGCGGUAAUCUGAGCGGGCUGGCAAGGC